Molecule: ribosomal RNA, 723 nt
Filed under: Burkholderia glumae
Lineage: Bacteria; Pseudomonadati; Pseudomonadota; Betaproteobacteria; Burkholderiales; Burkholderiaceae
Description: bacterial SSU rRNA
Rfam family: Bacterial small subunit ribosomal RNA
Source: RNAcentral
AUGCCUUACACAUGCAAGUCGAACGGCAGCACGGGUGCUUGCACCUGGUGGCGAGUGGCGAACGGGUGAGUAAUACAUCGGAACAUGUCCUGUAGUGGGGGAUAGCCCGGCGAAAGCCGGAUUAAUACCGCAUACGAUCUACGGAAGAAAGCGGGGGACCUUCGGGCCUCGCGCUAUAGGGUUGGCCGAUGGCUGAUUAGCUAGUUGGUGGGGUAAAGGCCUACCAAGGCGACGAUCAGUAGCUGGUCUGAGAGGACGACCAGCCACACUGGGACUGAGACACGGCCCAGACUCCUACGGGAGGCAGCAGUGGGGAAUUUUGGACAAUGGGCGAAAGCCUGAUCCAGCAAUGCCGCGUGUGUGAAGAAGGCCUUCGGGUUGUAAAGCACUUUUGUCCGGAAAGAAAUCCUGAGGGCUAAUAUCCUUCGGGGAUGACGGUACCGGAAGAAUAAGCACCGGCUAACUACGUGCCAGCAGCCGCGGUAAUACGUAGGGUGCGAGCGUUAAUCGGAAUUACUGGGCGUAAAGCGUGCGCAGGCGGUUUGCUAAGACCGAUGUGAAAUCCCCGGGCUCAACCUGGGAACUGCAUUGGUGACUGGCAGGCUAGAGUAUGGCAGAGGGGGGUAGAAUUCCACGUGUAGCAGUGAAAUGCGUAGAGAUGUGGAGGAAUACCGAUGGCGAAGGCAGCCCCCUGGGCCAAUACUGACGCUCAUGCACGAAAGC